GACGAACGCUGGCGGCGUGCUUAACACAUGCAAGUCGAACGGAAAGGCCCUGCUUUUGUGGGGUGCUCGAGUGGCGAACGGGUGAGUACCACGUGAGUAACCUGCCCUUGGCUUUGGGAUAACUUCAGGAAACUGGGGCUAAUACCGGAUAGGAGCUCCUGCUGCAUGGUGGGGGUUGGAAAGUUUCGGCGGUUGGGGAUGGACUCGCGGCUUAUCAGCUUGUUGGUGGGGUAGUGGCUUACCAAGGCUUUGACGGGUAGCCGGCCUGAGAGGGUGACCGGCCACAUUGGGACUGAGAUACGGCCCAGACUCCUACGGGAGGCAGCAGUGGGGAAUAUUGCACAAUGGGCGGAAGCCUGAUGCAGCAACGCCGCGUGCGGGAUGACGGCCUUCGGGUUGUAAACCGCUUUCGCCUGUGACGAAGCGUGAGUGACGGUAAUGGGUAAAGAAGCACCGGCUAACUACGUG
Molecule: ribosomal RNA, 468 nt
Filed under: uncultured bacterium
Lineage: Bacteria
Description: partial 16S ribosomal RNA
Rfam family: Bacterial small subunit ribosomal RNA
Source: RNAcentral